GACGAACGCUGGCGGCGUGCCUAAUACAUGCAAGUAGAACGCUGAAGGAGGAGCUUGCUUCUCCGGAUGAGUUGCGAACGGGUGAGUAACGCGUAGGUAACCUGCCUGGUAGCGGGGGAUAACUAUUGGAAACGAUAGCUAAUACCGCAUAAGAGUAGAUGUUGCAUGACAUUGGCUUAAAAGGUGCAAUUGCAUCACUACCAGAUGGACCUGCGUUGUAUUAGCUAGUUGGUGGGGUAACGGCUCACCAAGGCGACGAUACAUAGCCGACCUGAGAGGGUGAUCGGCCACACUGGGACUGAGACACGGCCCAGACUCCUACGGGAGGCAGCAGUAGGGAAUCUUCGGCAAUGGACGGAAGUCUGACCGAGCAACGCCGCGUGAGUGAAGAAGGUUGCCGGAUCGUAAAGCUCUGUUGUAAGAGAAGAACGAGUGUGAGAGUGGAAAGUUCACACUGUGACGGUAUCUUACCAGAAAGGGACGGCUAACUACGUG
This 495-nucleotide ribosomal RNA is filed under the name uncultured bacterium. Its description in RNAcentral is "partial 16S ribosomal RNA". It matches the Rfam family "Bacterial small subunit ribosomal RNA", at positions 28 to 507 of the family's 1533-position model. The record is from RNAcentral.